AGAGUUUGAUCAUGGCUCAGAACGAACGUUAGCGGCGAGCCUAACACAUGCAAGUCGCACGAGAAAGGGCCUCGGCCCCGGUAAAGUGGCGCACGGGUGAGUAACACGUGGGUAAUCUGCCCUCGGGCUGGGGAUAACAUUCCGAAAGGAGUGCUAAUACCGAAUAAGACAACGAUCUCGAAAGAGAAUGUGGUCAAAGCUGGCCUCUAUAAAUAAGCUAGCACCUGAGGAUGAGCCCGCGGCGCAUCAGCUAGUUGGUGAGGUAAUGGCUUACCAAGGCUAAGACGCGUAGCUGGUCUGAGAGGAUGAUCAGCCACACUGGAACUGAGACACGGUCCAGACUCCUACGGGAGGCAGCAGUGGGGAAUCUUGCGCAAUGGGCGAAAGCCUGACGCAGCGACGCCGCGUGAGUGAUGAAGGCCUUCGGGUUGUAAAGCUCUGUGGGGAGAGAAGAAUUAGUAGAUGCGAAUACCUUCUAUGAUGACGGUAUCUCCUUAGCAAGCACCGGCUAACUCUGUGCCAGCCGCCGCGGUAAUUC
Molecule: ribosomal RNA, 538 nt
Filed under: uncultured bacterium
Lineage: Bacteria
Description: bacterial SSU rRNA
Rfam family: Bacterial small subunit ribosomal RNA
Source: RNAcentral